RNAcentral lists this ribosomal RNA (431 nucleotides) under uncultured bacterium. Its description in RNAcentral is "partial 16S ribosomal RNA". It matches the Rfam family "Bacterial small subunit ribosomal RNA", at positions 29 to 507 of the family's 1533-position model. The record is from RNAcentral.
AACGAACGCUGGCGGCAGGCUUAACACAUGCAAGUCGAACGCCCCGCAAGGGGAGUGGCAGACGGGUGAGUAACGAGUGGGAACAUACCCUUUUCUACGGAAUAGCUCUGGGAAACUGGAAUUAAUACCGUAUAAGCCCUACGGGGGAAAGAUUUAUCGGGGAAGGAUUGGCCCGCGUUGGAUUAGCUAGUUGGUGGGGUAAAGGCCUACCAAGGCGACGAUCCAUAGCUGGUCUGAGAGGAUGAACAGCCACAUUGGGACUGAGACACGGCCCAAACUCCUACGGGAGGCAGCAGUGGGGAAUAUUGGACAAUGGGCGCAAGCCUGAUCCAGCCAUGCCGCGUGAGUGAUGAAGUCCUUAGGGUUGUAAAGCUCUUUCACCGAUGAAGAUAAUGACGGUAGUCGGAGAAGAAGCCCCGGCUAACUUCGUG